CUUUCUCAACCUGGAAGUGUCUGUGCUAACCUGUGAGAGAGUAAGAGGGAUUUGACCAUCAUCACAUCCAGUUAAGAGAUUUCUACUACACAGCUUUAGAGAUGAUUAAAGACUUCCUAAAGAUGGAAUGUGAAAAUCUGUUGGGUUGCACACAAAGCUCUGGUAUACUCAAUUUGCCUACAAGUUUUAAAAGAAGCAGCCCAGGAUCCCAAAAAGAUGUGAAACAGCGGAAGAGAUAUACACAUUAACUCAUUGCCUUGGGAGAAAAGGCUGGAAAACUGAAGUGUGCCAGUAGGAUUAAAAAUAAAAGAAUCAAAUGACAUACUAAUAGAGCCAAGGACAGGGCUAAAACUGGUGAGGUGCCUGUCUUCUUAUCUUGAUGAAUCAUGAAAGCUUUGACACAUUCGUGUGUUACAUCAACCGAUGAGUCACCCUUAGCGCAAUGCUGUUUGGCGGGCAGAGAAAAACUUUGCAAUCCAUGUUUUCUGCUAUUUGUCACCUUGGCACCAUAUGCUAUUCCUGCAUCUGCCUGAUAAUGGAUUCUGUGGGAAAUGCUGAUGAGAAUCUAGCCUUGCAUCUGCCUGAUAAUGAAUUCUGUGGGAAAUGCUGAUGAGAAUCUAGCCAGGUGAUUCGAUUCAAGCAGGUGAUUUUUCUCAAAGAUGACCAAAACCCAAUCAUUUUAAUACAGUUUCAGUUUUGCAAUCUCGGUUGUGGCUGCUAAACCUCAGGUGAGUGCACAGGUUUCCUGGCACAGGAGUAUGCUCAUGACAGCCCUCAGCCUAUCUCAGCCUUCUCAGCCUUGGGACAGACAGGUAUCAGCAGCACGGGAACUCCCCAAGUCUGGAUUACAAGGACAACCUGGAGUGCACUGCCAUUCUUCCUCACCUACCAGAUUUUUGUAGGACAUAGGGAGCUUGGGAUUCAAAAGAGACUGAAAUAUUUUCAGAAUAAUACAAACUCUUCCUAGUGGGACCUGACACAAUGUUCCUGCGCCCCAAAUAUGCAUAAGUCAGACUGUUCAAGAACGAGGCAUACUGUGAUCCAACCGUUUUAUGCCUCAUUUUUAGAAAUCUAAAUUGUAACUCAAGUCCAUGAGCCAAAGGAACCGCUCCUCUAACCUCCUUUUCUGAAGCUCAGUGUUUUAAACCAAGCUGUCCAUACCCUGAGCACUGACUUGCACUUUACUACUCCUGCCAUCAGGAGAUAAAGCUGAAUUAGGGACUUAUCCAAGAGGGUUUGUGGGUUGUAAAUGACCUUGGUUCUUCACAUCCAUAAAAAGAAUGCCCAUCAAGGUUGUCUCAUCCAACGAAGGCAACACUGAUUACUAGACAUGGCAAAUGCUCUGCAGCCAAAGAUCUGGAAGCCACCCCAGGUCCUCACCUGUCUCCCCAAGAGUCAGCCCAUCACAACAUCCUGUGGUUUUUUUCCUGAGUGAUUUUUCUAGAAUUUGGACCUCUUUUAUAUAUAUAUAUAUCUUUCUUUCUUUCCCUCUUUUAUUUAUUUAUUGUUUGGACAGGGCCUCAUUAUGUAGCCCAGGCUAGAUCCUCCUGACUCAGUUUCCCAAGUGCUAGAAUAACAGGCAUGUUCUACCACACCCCAUUCUGUGAUGCUGUCUAAAUGCAGGCCAGAUGACCGCUGCAUUCCGUCACCUACUUCUGCUUCCUGUCUUGUACUCCUCCACAGCAGCAGAGUGAACUUUAUAAGGGCCAUGUCAUUUAUCGUGUCAUUCCCUGCCAUGAAACUCUUUGCUGGCUCUUAACUACUCUCAGGAUCCAAUUCAAACCCCGCUGGCCCCUGCCCAUUGCCUUUAGGGAGCAGCCUAGGAUUUCCAUUCCACAAACUGGAGUUCACCUCCAGGCUUUGGCUUCAGCUCAUUCAUUUCCUUGCUCUCUUCGCACUUGCCUCUUGGCAGUCUUCCAAGGAGCCUUCAGAUCCUGGAAGGCCAGAUGAAGAGCCCUGUCUAUGUUCCUAGAGCAACAUCCUGAUGCUCAGCAAAGCACCUGCUACCCGGAUCAUGUCGCUGUCCUCCCAACCUGCAGUGGCUGUCCAUCUUAUGCGAAUAAAACAUUAAAAGUCCUCA
Long non-coding RNA from Cavia porcellus (domestic guinea pig), 2080 nucleotides. RefSeq lists it as uncharacterized. The transcript is spliced from 2 exons. The record is from RefSeq and is a predicted model, not a curated record. NCBI's taxonomy places the organism in Eukaryota, Metazoa, Chordata, Mammalia, Rodentia, Caviidae.